This 1372-nucleotide ribosomal RNA is filed under the name uncultured bacterium. RNAcentral's name for it is "bacterial SSU rRNA". It matches the Rfam family "Bacterial small subunit ribosomal RNA", at positions 28 to 1381 of the family's 1533-position model. The record is from RNAcentral.
GAUGAACGCUGGCGGCGUGCCUAAUACAUGCAAGUCGAGCGAACGGACGAGAAGCUUGCUUCUCUGAUGUUAGCGGCGGACGGGUGAGUAACACGUGGAUAACCUACCUAUAAGACUGGGAUAACUUCGGGAAACCGGAGCUAAUACCGGAUAAUAUUUUGAACCGCAUGGUUCAAAAGUGAAAGACGGUCUUGCUGUCACUUAUAGAUGGAUCCGCGCUGCAUUAGCUAGUUGGUAAGGUAACGGCUUACCAAGGCAACGAUGCAUAGCCGACCUGAGAGGGUGAUCGGCCACACUGGAACUGGGACACGGUCCAGACUCCUACGGGAGGCAGCAAUAGGGAAUCUUCCGCAAUGGGCGAAAGCCUGACGGAGCAACGCCGCGUGAGUGAUGAAGGUCUUCGGAUCGUAAAACUCUGUUAUUGGGGAAGAACAUAUGUGUAAGUAACUGUGCACAUCUUGACGGUACCUAAUCAGAAAGCCACGGCUAACUACGUGCCAGCAGCCGCGGUAAUACGUAGGUGGCAAGCGUUAUCCGGAAUUAUUGGGCGUAAAGCGCGCGUAGGCGGUUUUUUAAGUCUGAUGUGAAAGCCCACGGCUCAACCGUGGAGGGUCAUUGGAAACUGGAAAACUUGAGUGCAGAAGAGGAAAGUGGAAUUCCAUGUGCAGCGGUGAAAUGCGCAGAGAUAUGGAGGAACACCAGUGGCGAAGGCGACUUUCUGGUCUGUAACUGACGCUGAUGUGCGAAAGCGUGGGGAUCAAACAGGAUUAGAUACCCUGGUAGUCCACGCCGUAAACGAUGAGUGCUAAGUGUUAGGGGGUUUCCGCCCCUUAGUGCUGCAGCUAACGCAUUAAGCACUCCGCCUGGGGAGUACGACCGCAAGGUUGAAACUCAAAGGAAUUGACGGGGACCCGCACAAGCGGUGGAGCAUGUGGUUUAAUUCGAAGCAACGCGAAGAACCUUACCAAAUCUUGACAUCCUUUGACAACUCUAGAGAUAGAGCCUUCCCCUUCGGGGGACAAAGUGACAGGUGGUGCAUGGUUGUCGUCAGCUCGUGUCGUGAGAUGUUGGGUUAAGUCCCGCAACGAGCGCAACCCUUAAGCUUAGUUGCCAUCAUUAAGUUGGGCACUCUAAGUUGACUGCCGGUGACAAACCGGAGGAAGGUGGGGAUGACGUCAAAUCAUCAUGCCCCUUAUGAUUUGGGCUACACACGUGCUACAAUGGACAAUACAAAGGGCAGCGAAACCGCGAGGUCAAGCAAAUCCCAUAAAGUUGUUCUCAGUUCGGAUUGUAGUCUGCAACUCGACUACAUGAAGCUGGAAUCGCUAGUAAUCGUAGAUCAGCAUGCUACGGUGAAUACGUUCCCGGGUCU